This 238-nucleotide ribosomal RNA is filed under the name uncultured bacterium. Its description in RNAcentral is "partial 16S ribosomal RNA". It matches the Rfam family "Bacterial small subunit ribosomal RNA", at positions 15 to 244 of the family's 1533-position model. The record is from RNAcentral.
GAUCCUGGCUCAGGAUGAACGCUGGAGGCGUGCCUAACACAUGCAAGUCGAACGGACUUACAUUGAAGCCUAGCGAUAUGUAAGUUAGUGGCGGACGGGUGAGUAACGCGUGGGUAACCUGCCUUGUACUGGGGGACAACAGUUGGAAACGACUGCUAAUACCGCAUAAGCGCACAGCUUCGCAUGAAGCAGUGUGAAAAACUACCGGUGGUACAAGAUGGACCCGCCGUCUGAUUAG